CAGCAGCCGCGGGAAUACGGAGGGAGCUAGCGUUGUUCGGAAUCACUGGGCGUAAAGCGCACGUAGGCGGCUAUUCAAGUCAGGGGUGAAAGCCCGGGGCUCAACCCCGGAACUGCCUUUGAAACUAGAUAGCUUGAAUCUUGGAGAGGCGAGUGGAAUUCCGAGUGUAGAGGUGAAAUUCGUAGAUAUUCGGAAGAACACCAGUGGCGAAGGCGACUGACUGGACAAGUAUUGACGCUGAGGUGCGAAAGCGUGGGGAGCAAACAGGAUUAGAUACCCGUGUAGUCCCUGUCUCUUAUAC
Molecule: ribosomal RNA, 301 nt
Filed under: uncultured bacterium
Lineage: Bacteria
Description: partial 16S ribosomal RNA
Rfam family: Bacterial small subunit ribosomal RNA
Source: RNAcentral